This 253-nucleotide ribosomal RNA is filed under the name uncultured bacterium. RNAcentral's name for it is "partial 16S ribosomal RNA". It matches the Rfam family "Bacterial small subunit ribosomal RNA", at positions 524 to 776 of the family's 1533-position model. The record is from RNAcentral.
UACAGAGGUCUCGAGCGUUAGGCGGAAUCACUGGGCUUAAAGCGUGCGUAGGCGGGUCGUUAAGUACCUUGUGAAAUCCCAUGGCUCAACCAUGGAACUGCUUGGUAUACUGGCGAUCUUGUGCAACCUAGGGGCGAGCGGAACAGAUGGUGGAGCGGUGAAAUGCGUAGAUAUCAUCUGGAACGCCAAUGGUGAAAACAGCUCGCUGGGGGUUUGCAGACGCUGAGACACGAAAGCCAGGGGAGCGAACGGG